UACGUCACUCCCGCCCCUCCCGCGGCCGCCGCCGCCAUGUUCCGGAACCUGCUGGUGGCGGCGGCGCAGCGGCCCCAGGCCCCGGGCGGGUCCCCGCGGCCGCCACCUCCCGCCGGCCCCGCCGCCGAGGCGCUGGAGGCGCAGUUCAGCUGCCCCAUCUGCCUGGAGGUUUUCCACCGCGCCGUCGGCAUCGCCGGCUGCGGACACACGUUUUGCGGGGAGUGCCUGCAGCCCUGCCUGCAAGUGCCAUCACCGCUCUGCCCGCUCUGCCGCAUGCCUUUCGACCCCAAGAAGGUGGAGAAGGCAUCCAGCGUGGAGAAGCAGCUCGCGUCCUACAAAGCUCCCUGCAGAGGCUGCAGCAAGAAGGUGACCCUCGCCAAGAUGCGCUCUCAUGUCUCAUCCUGUGCAAAGGUGCAGGAGCAGAUGGCCAACUGCCCCAAGUUUGUUCCCGUUGUCCCCACGUCCCAACCAAUCCCCAGCAACAUUCCCAAUCGCUCGACAUUUGUGUGCCCGUACUGCGGCGCCCGGAACCUGGACCAACAGGAGCUGGUGAAGCACUGCAUGGAGAACCACCGCAAUGACCCCAACAAAGUGACGCUCUCUGGAAUGAGCUGCCUCCGUUCCCCUGUGCCUGCGACCUGCCUGGUGUGGAAUUUCCUCUCCCCAUCCCUGCUGGGUUGACCGAGAUGGUGAAUUUCCAGCUCUGGCACCAUCUCAGACAUGAGGAAGAAAUUGUUGCCCCUGAGGGUGGUGAGAGCCUGGCCCAGGUUGGCCAGAGAGGUGGUGGAUGAACCAUCCCUGGAGACAUCCCAGGCCAGGCUGGACGGGGCUCUGAGCAACCUGAGCUGGUGUGCCCGGUCUGCUCAGCCAUGCCCUGGGGGGACCCCAGCUACAAAAGCGCCAACUUUCUCCAGCACCUUCUCCACCGGCACAAGUUCUCCUAUGACACGUUUGUGGACUACAACAUUGAUGAGGAGGCGGCGUUGCAGGCUGCCCUGGCGCUGUCGCUCUCUGAGAACUGAGAGUGACCACGGAGCAUCCAUUUGGACCCCCCUCGCUGCACCGUCUCCUUUUGCACACUUGGCCUUCCCACUGGGGAGACACGGAGCUUGUCACCCCCCCGGACACCUGCUGCCGCCUCCCAUCCCUCUCCUCUCGGGGCAAAUCCCACCUUGUUGAAGAAGGUGGAGACUCUUGAGCAUCGCGCUGGACCAGUGAGCGAGCAGAGACGUCCGCUGCUGGGAGGGGAGAGGAGUCGGUGCCGGAAGGAUCGUUCCUCGGUUAGAUGUUUCAUAUCCGUAUACGGAGUAUAUACCUGUAUCCAGAUCUAUUUAUUAUUAGAUGCUUUUUGGCACCAUUUUGUCUUCACACUCUCUGUUGCGGUUAAAUAAUAGGUACGUAAAACUAUGAUGCAUUUUGUGCAGAAAUGCCCUGGUUUGAAAAUGCAGUCGUCUGCCUCCUUUUUGAAAAGGAAGAAAACAACAUGGAGCAACUUUUGAACUCUUCAAGGCUUUUUCCAGAGACGUCAGUCUGUCCCAUGCCUUGUGCUGCAGGCAGGAGCUGCCUCUUUUGCCACACUGAAUCCUGGGGCUGCCUCAGUGUUGCCCUUGCGUUCCUCGUGAUGGUAGAAGGUUCGGAGGAGUCCGCAGGGAUGGCGUCCGGUGAACCCCUCGCAUUUCUCAUUUUGUACUGGCUCUUGUGAUACUGAGUUCUUGCAUUUUUCUACAUUAAUUGGCGUGAUGCCUUUUCCAUGUUUUAUAGAGCAGCAACAGAAGCUGUUACUCUUCACGCUGCAAUAUAUGUCACCGGGGACAAGAGUAUUUUUAUGGAACAUUAUUAAGAAAGUAUAUUUUUAAAAAAACAAACAAACAUGCUGUGGAUUUGAAAUCGGGUGGGAGGCAGGAGCCGGACCCCCACGGGACUCUGCGGAGGACAGGAGAAGCAUGCGAGCGUCCCCUUCAGUUUUUUCUGGGCUGUUCCCUCCCCUCCUUGUCAUGUUUCUCUGCAGGCGGGUGCUGAUGCAGGAGAGGCCAGUUCAGAGCAGCGUCUCGUCGGGUGCCGAGCAGGGCAUGGUUGAGCUUUUGGUGGCUUAACCCUCGCGGGCAGGGCUCCCUGGACACGGCCGCAGGCAGGAUGUAAUCCCAAGUGCUGCUUUUCUGUCUGCAAGCGAGCAGGCAGGUCGGUUGUGCCAUGCUAGAGCUGUGCACGGAGCAGCCAGGUCAUGUCUGGUGAUGGGCGCGCAGGGGCAACGUCUCCCCACACAUGAUCUCAUCCCUGAUGCUGAGCAUCUUGUCCCCCUGAAAUAGGGGGCUGCAUCCCCCUUUCCCAGGUCUCUCGCUGGGAGUAGGGCACACCUGGGCAGAUGUUGAUCCAAGGGAUGCUCCUUAGUGUCCUGGUGACUGUCCCCUCUGAUCCCCCGCAGGGCUUUGCAGAGAAGGGGUGUGGGACAGCCCAUCCCUCCGCGUGUCCCUGCUCGGGGAAGUGCCCUUUUGGGGUUUAUCCGAGCCUUGGCUCUCGCUUCAGCUCUGUUCUAGCAAUACUGUCUUGUUUCUUACUUUGCUCUCAAUAGUGCUGGGUGUUUUGGGGGCUGUGGGCUCCCCCGUGCCGCUGGCAGCUCUGCGAGGAGCAGGCAGAGGGCAGGGAAAGGCUGGAGCUGCUCUGCUCCCCUCCCUCCAGCCAGGCUGGCGAGGAAGAAUGGGUUUGUCCCUUACCCGCACGGUCAUCCUGGCACCUUCCCAGCCUGGGGGACAUCCCUGGUGGGACAGGGAGCGCUGGCAUCUCCCAAAAGGGACCCAGGGGGGUUUCCCAGCCCUGUGCUCAGCCGGGACUCUUGAGUCCCAGAGCAGCUCUGGCUUGUAGGGAGCUCCCUGCCUCUGAGACAGCACUGUUAACCUCUCUGUCUCCUUCUUCCCCCUCUUCCUCCUCCUUUUUGCCCUGCAACGCCAGAGCAGGGGCAGUGAGAGCUGCUUUUGUAAAGCACUUUAAGGCCCGGGAUGUGAGGGCUGCUGGCCGCACUCGUCAGUGUGUUACCCGCCACUUUUUGCAUAACUAGAACUUUUACUGAGACGUACUGUUUUUUGAAGAAGAAUAAAAUCAAUGAGGUAUUUGUAGCAAACCAUUUUUCUCAAUAAAGGCAGUUUCAUCCA
Columba livia (rock pigeon) is the source of this 3146-nucleotide RNA transcript. It is a transcript of the gene named ring finger protein 166, with no coding region annotated. The transcript is spliced from 7 exons. The record is from RefSeq and is a predicted model, not a curated record. NCBI's taxonomy places the organism in Eukaryota, Metazoa, Chordata, Aves, Columbiformes, Columbidae.